CAUGCUGUCAAGCCCGACUUUGCGGAAGGGUUGUAUUUAUUAGACUUAAGCCAAUAUUCCUUACGGUCUAUUGCGAUGAUUCAUAAUAACUGAUCGAAUCUCAUAAGUGAGAUAAAUCAUUCAAGUUUCUGCCCUAUCAGCUUUCGAUGGUAGUGUAUUGGACUACCAUGGCAGUAACGGGUAACGAAGAAUUAGGGUUCGAUUUCGGAGAGGGAGCAUGAGAAACGGCUACCACAUCUAAGGAAGGCAGCAGGCGCGUAAAUUACCCAAUCCUGACUCAGGGAGGUAGUGACAAGAAAUAGCAAACCGGGGACCUCACGGUCUCACGGUAUUGCAAUGAGAACAAGUUAAAACUCUUAGCGAGGAACAAGUGGAGGACAAGUCUGGUGCCAGCACCCGCGGUAAUUCCAGCUCCACUAGCGUAUACUAAAGUUGUUGCAGUUAAAAAGCUCGUAGUUGAAUUUCUGUAUGGGGCUAGUUUUGACUCACAUCUGGCUAGUUUCAUACAUCCGCUUGCAAGACCUGGAGGGCAUUYACUUGUCGCCAGGAGGAGUAGGCUUUUUACUUUGAAAAAAUUAGAGUGUUUAAGGCAGGCAAUUGCCCGCAUAUAUUAGCAUGGAAUAAUAGAAUAGGACACUUUUCCAUUUCGUUGGUUAUUGGAAUCGUGUAAUGAUUAAUAGGGACAGUUGUGGGCAUUUGUAUUUAAUUGUCAGAGGUGAAAUUCUUGGAUUUAUUAAAGACAAACUAACGCGAAAGCAUUUGCCAAGGAUGUUUUCAUUAAUCAAGAACGAAAGUUAGGGGAUCAAAGACGAUCAGAUACCGUCCUAGUCUUAACUAUAAACUAUUCCGACUCAAUGUUUGACUGGCCCCUUUAACCAGUUGAGCGUUGUAUGAGAAAUCAAAGUCUUUAGGUUCUGGGGGGAGUAUGGUUGCAAAGCUGAAACUUAAAGGAAUUGACGGAAGAGCACAACCAGGAGUGGAUUCUGCGGCUUAAUUUGACUCAACACGGGGAAACUUACCAGGUUAAAACAAUAG
This 1035-nucleotide ribosomal RNA is filed under the name Scuticociliatia sp. cLPN3. RNAcentral describes it as "SSU rRNA". It matches the Rfam family "Eukaryotic small subunit ribosomal RNA", at positions 171 to 1245 of the family's 1831-position model. Lineage: Eukaryota; Ciliophora; Oligohymenophorea. The record is from RNAcentral.